Molecule: ribosomal RNA, 496 nt
Filed under: uncultured bacterium
Lineage: Bacteria
Description: partial 16S ribosomal RNA
Rfam family: Bacterial small subunit ribosomal RNA
Source: RNAcentral
GAUGAACGCUGGCGGCGUGCCUAAUACAUGCAAGUCGAGCGAACAGACGAGGAGCUUGCUCCUCUGACGUUAGCGGCGGACGGGUGAGUAACACGUGGAUAACCUACCUAUAAGACUGGGAUAACUUCGGGAAACCGGAGCUAAUACCGGAUAAUAUAUUGAACCGCAUGGUUCAAUAGUGAAAGACGGUUUUGCUGUCACUUAUAGAUGGAUCCGCGCCGCAUUAGCUAGUUGGUAAGGUAACGGCUUACCAAGGCAACGAUGCGUAGCCGACCUGAGAGGGUGAUCGGCCACACUGGAACUGAGACACGGUCCAGACUCCUACGGGAGGCAGCUGUAGGGAAUCUUCCGCAAUGGGCGAAAGCCUGACGGAGCAACGCCGCGGGAGUGAUGAAGGUCUUCGGAUCGUAAAACUCUGUUAUUAGGGAAGAACAAAUGUGUAAGUAACUAUGCACGUCUUGACGGUACCUAAUCAGAAAGCCACGGCUAACUACGU